GGGGUCGUGGCUCAGCGUAGAGCGCUCGCCUGGUACGUGAGAGGCCCUGGGUUCCAUCCUCAGCACCCCA
This 70-nucleotide transfer RNA is filed under the name Ictidomys tridecemlineatus (thirteen-lined ground squirrel). Its description in RNAcentral is "Spermophilus tridecemlineatus (thirteen-lined ground squirrel) tRNA". It matches the Rfam family "tRNA". From Rfam's summary of the family: Transfer RNA (tRNA) molecules are approximately 80 nucleotides in length. Their secondary structure includes four short double-helical elements and three loops (D, anti-codon, and T loops). The record is from Rfam by way of RNAcentral. Lineage: Eukaryota; Metazoa; Chordata; Mammalia; Rodentia; Sciuridae.